CCGGCGCUGGCGGGCCGAGAGGCCGCGGGCGGUGCUGCCGGCCCCGCGGUCGGUGCCGGUCCCGGACGGGGUGCGGUCCGGGGCGGUGCCGUCGGC
This 96-nucleotide transfer RNA is filed under the name Streptomyces nigrescens. RNAcentral's name for it is "tRNA-Gly". Lineage: Bacteria; Bacillati; Actinomycetota; Actinomycetes; Kitasatosporales; Streptomycetaceae. The record is from RNAcentral.